GGUUUGUGUGUGGCUGCGGACGAGGAGCGGAGCGGAGCGGGAACGACGUAUUUCACCAUAGGAUUUACCAGAGGAUUUGUCGCCGGAGAGCCGCGUCUUUGUAAGGAUAUAACCACAUAUUGAGGGAUCUCGACGGUGAGCCGCCACCUACCAAGCUAUGCUGGUGGCUUUUUUUAAGGGAAAAACGUCGAGAAUAUGCCGAAGGAUUAUUACUUUUCAUGACGGCUAGUUAGCUGUCAGCUCGAGACAUGGCGGCUUGAAGCGGAAGUAGUGAAGGAGCGCCGGUGUCCCGGAUCGCAAACUGCUGAUCGGACAGCUGACUGGUGAGGUCAUGGAGAUGCCACCCAGCAGAUGACAUUAGCACUGUCUGCAAGGCGCAGCUCGCUGGGCCAGUGAUGGGCAGACCGGGCCCUGGAUGUCCACGUGGGACCUUCCCUUCCAGGAAGGAGGCGGGACCUCGGGGACCUGUCGGAAAAUGGACGCGUGCUCCUGUUUCCGCAUACUUUGACAGCGAAAAAGCUCUGCGUCGGUCCACCGUCGCCUAAUUAGGGUCUUGGCUGUGGGAGAUGAAGGGGAUGAAAUGGAAAAUAAGGAGCGAGCAAACAGUGCUGCACAUUAACAUUCUCAUAUGCACUCCAGCUCCCUCACAUGGGGAACCCUGAUGCUUGUCUUCAGGAGGAGCUCCUCCAAGGCCAUGUUCUGCACCAUGUGUGAAACCUGUUAAAUGCAUACAGGAAAGACAGGCAGGCUCACAGACCGCAACCCUUUUUGCUUUUGCUGUAGACAGAGCAGGGAAGAGGAAAACCACCACGCUCACGUGGGGCAGAAUGCAGACUGUCAGGGUCCAAUUCCUGGCACAAUGGCAUCUGCUGCCCAUCCUCGAUGGGGAUGAAGUCAAAGUGGAUGGUAAUGGACUCUAGUCGCUGUCCAGUGCGCUUCCUUUUGUUAGAAGCGCCCUUCUCAAACUGGGCCCUGCAGCAAAAACAUUUUCCACUGGGUCUUCAAGCAGUCACAAGUGUUGUGAUGCCCUCUAGUGGUCAGUAGGAAAAACUACAGGUCACUGGUGACACUAGUUCCUGCUAUUGGCAAAUCUUUG
Molecule: long non-coding RNA, 1096 nt
Organism: Scleropages formosus (Asian bonytongue)
Lineage: Eukaryota; Metazoa; Chordata; Actinopteri; Osteoglossiformes; Osteoglossidae
Exons: 2
Source: RefSeq, a predicted model, not a curated record